GGAUGUGAGGGUGAUCUGGCUGUGACAUAUGUCACCCCAUUGAUGACCUCGGGUUGAUUUAGCUGAUCUGGAUGGCCAGGAGAUGUCACCUCCCUCCAUCCCUCUGGAAGUGACAUGCUCUUUUGAAGAGGACAACCUUCCCUGAUGGAGGAGGGGUAUUCUCUGGUCAAGGAUAUGGGAGUAGGUGUUGUCUCCUGCUACUCUCUCCAAACAAGCUCUCAAAGUCCAUUUGUAGGAAAAUGGGGUUGGGGGCGGGUAGUCAAGAUUGCAAGACUCCAGACACAUUCAAAUGAGAUGCUUUCUUU
This 305-nucleotide small nuclear RNA is filed under the name Neogale vison (American mink). RNAcentral describes it as "Neovison vison (American mink) 7SK RNA (ENSNVIG00000022640.1)". It matches the Rfam family "7SK RNA". From Rfam's summary of the family: 7SK was discovered as an abundant small nuclear RNA in the mid-70s but a possible function has only recently been suggested. Two independent studies have found that 7SK RNA binds the CDK9/cyclin T complex (known as elongation factor P-TEFb). Lineage: Eukaryota; Metazoa; Chordata; Mammalia; Carnivora; Mustelidae. The record is from Rfam by way of RNAcentral.